Molecule: ribosomal RNA, 482 nt
Filed under: uncultured bacterium
Lineage: Bacteria
Description: partial 16S ribosomal RNA
Rfam family: Bacterial small subunit ribosomal RNA
Source: RNAcentral
GACGAGCGCUGGCGGCGUGCCUAACACAUGCAAGUCGAACGGAACUGUUUUGAAAGAUUUCUUCGGAAUGAAUUUGAUUUAGUUUAGUGGCGGACGGGUGAGUAACGCGUGAGUAACCUGCCUUCAAGAGGGGAAUAACAUUCUGAAAAGAAUGCUAAUACCGCAUGACAUAUCGGAACCACAUGGUUUUGAUAUCAAAGAUUUUAUCGCUUGAAGAUGGACUCGCGUCCGAUUAGUUAGUUGGUGAGGUAACGGCUCACCAAGACCGCGAUCGGUAGCCGGACUGAGAGGUUGAACGGCCACAUUGGGACUGAGACACGGCCCAGACUCCUACGGGAGGCAGCAGUGGGGGAUAUUGCGCAAUGGGGGCAACCCUGACGCAGCAACGCCGCGUGAAGGAUGAAGGUUUUCGGAUUGUAAACUUCUUUUAUUAAGGACGAAAAAUGACGGUACUUAAUGAAUAAGCUCCGGCUAACUACGUG